AGGAACAUGUGGUUUAAUUCGAUGAUACGCGAGGAACCUUACCCGGGCUUAAAUUGCAACCGAAUAUGGCGGAAACGCCAUAGCUAGCAAUAGCGGUUGUGAAGGUGCUGCAUGGUUGUCGUCAGCUCGUGCCGUGAGGUGUCGGCUUAAGUGCCAUAACGAGCGCAACCCUUGCCGAUAGUUACUAACAGGUUAUGCUGAGGACUCUGUCGGGACUGCCAUCGUAAGAUGUGAGGAAGGUGGGGAUGACGUCAAAUCAGCACGGCCCUUACGUCCGGGGCUACACACGUGUUACAAUGGGGGGUACAGAGGGCUGCUACCACGCAAGUGGAUGCCAAUCCCAAAAACCUCUCUCAGUUCGGAUUGAAGUCUGCAACCCGACUUCAUGAAGCUGGAUUCGCUAGUAAUCGCGCAUCAGCCACGGCGCGGUGAAUACGUUCCCGGGCCUUGUACACACCGCCCGUCAAGCCAUGGGAGCCGGGGGUACCUGAAGUGCGUAACCGCAAGGAGCGCCCUAGGGUAAAACUGGUGACUGGGGCUAAGUCGUAACAAGGUAACCGU
RNAcentral lists this ribosomal RNA (561 nucleotides) under uncultured bacterium. RNAcentral's name for it is "bacterial SSU rRNA". It matches the Rfam family "Bacterial small subunit ribosomal RNA", at positions 933 to 1503 of the family's 1533-position model. The record is from RNAcentral.